GCACUAGUAGCUCAGCUUCAGAGCAUUG
Molecule: transfer RNA, 28 nt
Filed under: Gadopsis bispinosus 'BE'
Lineage: Eukaryota; Metazoa; Chordata; Actinopteri; Centrarchiformes; Percichthyidae
Also listed under: 1 other name
Description: partial tRNA-Thr
Source: RNAcentral